UCUGCUGCCAUGCUAUUGUGAACUCUGAUCCCAACAUAUCUCAUAAGCUCAAGAGAGUUGGGCUUUGGUAGUACUUGAAUGUGAGACCUCUGAGGAAAAGCCUAGAAGCUGCAAGAA
RNAcentral lists this ribosomal RNA (117 nucleotides) under Chrysemys picta bellii (western painted turtle). Lineage: Eukaryota; Metazoa; Chordata; Testudines; Emydidae. The record is from RNAcentral.